RNAcentral lists this transfer RNA (76 nucleotides) under Candidatus Pelagibacter sp. Its description in RNAcentral is "tRNA-Phe". It matches the Rfam family "tRNA". Rfam says of the family: Transfer RNA (tRNA) molecules are approximately 80 nucleotides in length. Their secondary structure includes four short double-helical elements and three loops (D, anti-codon, and T loops). The record is from RNAcentral. Lineage: Bacteria; Pseudomonadati; Pseudomonadota; Alphaproteobacteria; Candidatus Pelagibacterales; Candidatus Pelagibacteraceae.
GCUUCGGUAGCUCAGUUGGUAGAGCAGAGCCCUGAAAAGGCUUGUGUCGGUGGUUCGAGUCCGCCCCGAAGCACCA